This is a long non-coding RNA of Poecilia latipinna (sailfin molly), 537 nucleotides long. RefSeq lists it as uncharacterized. The record is from RefSeq and is a predicted model, not a curated record. The transcript is spliced from 4 exons. NCBI's taxonomy places the organism in Eukaryota, Metazoa, Chordata, Actinopteri, Cyprinodontiformes, Poeciliidae.
GCUCUCCUUACUGACUUAUAGCCAGCUAAAAAAUUCAUGUCGAAGUAGAAAGCGCAGCUGCGCUUCAUGUGCAAACGAUUCUUCCGGUCAGAAGUCACAGCUAAUUUUAAAAAUGAUUUUAUAAACUUAUUUGGAGAAAUAUAAAUAGAACAUUAAACUGUCCAACAGCAAAAGGAACAAAAUAAAAUCCGUGGGUUAGUCAGACCUGUUAGUGAUUAAAGGUUUUGUGAUUAUGUUGACUUGAACAUGUUAGCUUACCCAGGUUAGCCCUGACCCCUGACCUCCCAGACCAGCCUGACUCCUCCUGUGAAGCAGAUGAGUCAAAGUCAGCAGCAGCCAUGACCUCUAACCCCGCAGACCAGCCUGACUCCUCCCUGUGAAGCAGAAAACAACAAGCUGCUGCUUCACUUUGGACCAAUCAGAGCAGGAGGCGGAGCCAAAACAACCUGCAGGUGACUCGGUACCUGAGUCCCCCGACCGACAGGUGUCCGUAGGAGCUGCUGGCGGCUGAGCUGGACCGGGAGUUGUUGAUGUACG